UACAGAGGGGGCGAGCGUUGUUCGGAAUUACUGGGCGUAAAGGGCGCGUAGGCGCCUGCUAUGUCGAACGUGAAAUCCCCGGGCUCAACCCGGGAACUGCGUCCGAAACUGGCAGGCUUGAAUCCGGGAGAGGGAUGUGGAAUUCCAGGUGUAGCGGUGAAAUGCGUAGAUAUCUGGAGGAACACCGGUGGCGAAGGCGGCAUCCUGGACCGGUAUUGACGCUGAGGCGCGAAAGCCAGGGGAGCAAACGGG
RNAcentral lists this ribosomal RNA (252 nucleotides) under uncultured bacterium. RNAcentral's name for it is "partial 16S ribosomal RNA". It matches the Rfam family "Bacterial small subunit ribosomal RNA", at positions 524 to 776 of the family's 1533-position model. The record is from RNAcentral.